Molecule: ribosomal RNA, 597 nt
Filed under: Fusarium solani
Lineage: Eukaryota; Fungi; Ascomycota; Sordariomycetes; Hypocreales; Nectriaceae
Description: eukaryotic LSU rRNA
Rfam family: 5.8S ribosomal RNA (bases 268-421)
Source: RNAcentral
GCCCAGAGAGGUGGGCAACUACCACUCAGGGCCGGAAAGUUCUCCAAACUCGGUCAUUUAGAGGAAGUAAAAGUCGUAACAAGGUCUCCGUUGGUGAACCAGCGGAGGGAUCAUUACCGAGUUAUACAACUCAUCAACCCUGUGAACAUACCUAUAACGUUGCCUCGGCGGGAACAGACGGCCCCGUAACACGGGCCGCCCCCGCCAGAGGACCCCCUAACUCUGUUUCUAUAAUGUUUCUUCUGAGUAAACAAGCAAAUAAAUUAAAACUUUCAACAACGGAUCUCUUGGCUCUGGCAUCGAUGAAGAACGCAGCGAAAUGCGAUAAGUAAUGUGAAUUGCAGAAUUCAGUGAAUCAUCGAAUCUUUGAACGCACAUUGCGCCCGCCAGUAUUCUGGCGGGCAUGCCUGUUCGAGCGUCAUUACAACCCUCAGGCCCCCGGGCCUGGCGUUGGGGAUCGGCGGAAGCCCCCUGCGGGCACAACGCCGUCCCCCAAAUACAGUGGCGGUCCCGCCGCAGCUUCCAUUGCGUAGUAGCUAACACCUCGCAACUGGAGAGCGGCGCGGCCACGCCGUAAAACACCCAACUUCUGAAUGU